UUUCCCUCAGGAUAGCUGGCACUCGCUCGAGCGAGUCUCAUCUGGUAAAGCGAAUGAUUAGAGGCCUUGGGGCCGAAACGACCUCAACCUAUUCUCAAACUUUAAAUGGGUGAGAUCUCUGGCUUGCUUGAACGUUGAAGCCAUGAGAUAAAAUUUUUUUUGCAAUGGAUCAGAGUGCCAAGUGGGCCAAUUUUGGUAAGCAGAACUGGCGCUGUGGGA
This 219-nucleotide ribosomal RNA is filed under the name Licrooides umbilicatus. RNAcentral's name for it is "partial 28S ribosomal RNA". It matches the Rfam family "Eukaryotic large subunit ribosomal RNA", at positions 967 to 1163 of the family's 3401-position model. Lineage: Eukaryota; Metazoa; Arthropoda; Insecta; Hymenoptera; Eupelmidae. The record is from RNAcentral.